Long non-coding RNA from Equus caballus (horse), 1574 nucleotides. The record is from Ensembl. NCBI's taxonomy places the organism in Eukaryota, Metazoa, Chordata, Mammalia, Perissodactyla, Equidae.
CCUGUCUGUCAAGAGUCUGCUGUGUUUCUCUCUAACAGUAGUUAACAAAGAAACGAAAAUAAAGGAUCACCUUGUAAACACACAGGAUGGCCAAGAGCCCUCCAGACCAAAAUAAUGUUAUCAAAGAUGUCCAAGGAUCUGCAAAUAAGAGGCAAGAUUCCUCAGACAGGCUGCACCAGCGUGAAAAAUCUCCUUUCAAGAAACAGACUUCGCUAUUAGUUCUCAAUGCACCAAAAAGUCAGCAGUGGUAGCUCCGCCUCCUCUCCUCCCCCAAAAGAAAUCUUCCUCGACUUACAAUGGAGUUACAUCCUGAUUUGCCCAUCAUACGUUGAAAAUAUCUCGACAGUGGAAGCAACAACGGGUAGGUGUGCUCCAGGAUGUGUGGUUUCAGUGGAUGCUCCUAAUGCAAGCAAAGAAGGGACUGUAAAUAAAGCAGACGUGCAGAUGCUACUACUGUGAGAAGCGCUGGGUCUUUUCCCUAAUGCUCAGUGAAUCCCCAUGACUCCAGGACACUCUUGACUUCCAGCCAAUACAUCACAGUCUUCCCCUGCAAUGGCUACAGAGAGAGGUUAAAAAAAAUAGCCCACAAGAGUGCUCUUUCCUUCUCUCUCUGCUCCUUCAGCUCCAAGAAUAGACUCAUUGACGAAGUGUGUCUCUGUGUGUCUGUCUGUUACCCCAUGAUGCAUGCUGCUUCUUAUCCUGUUCUUGGGCCUUUCCUAGAAACGACCUCAGGCAGAGAACUGAAAAUUAAGCAGAAGGAGAAGGGACUAAAGCUACUUCCCAAGAAUAGUUUCAACAAUAAUUACGGCAGUGACGAACGUGCUGUCUGGGGAAAUGUUUGGGAACCUUCAACCCCUUGCGCACAGGCACACAGUUAGUGAGGGGCGUGCAGCCCAUUCACGGGCUGUCUGAUUCUGACAGCUGAGUUCUUACACAGGGCAUCAUCCUAAGCUCAAAAAUGUCAGUUGGAAAGGAAGAAAUCAGCAUAGCGUUAUGUGCAGAGCGAGUGCCUAUAUCGAUGAGAAUCGGAAAGAGAGCCUCUCCAUGCUUCUCCACCUGCUCCGUGUCCAGGACACUGACCUGUCUCACCUGCUGCAACUCCUAUCUCUUUCUGCACCUGAUGCUCUCCAUCAGGGUUCCAGUAACUCUCCUGUGUCCCUUCAGGCUGGGGUGGAAAUGCUCCCCACCCUGCAUGGCUGCUAUGGCUUCCCUGCGUGCUGCCCACACCUUGAACAUCAUUUCUUCAUUAAACUCUCCUAUGUUACCCAUUUUAAGGCUUCCACCUGUUUCUUGCCAAUACCCUGACUGAUUCACACUUACAAUAUUACAUUACAAAUAGAAAAUCUACAUUGCACCUACAUUCUGACUGUCAAGAAUUUCUAUACCCCGCAAAUACUAUAAAGGUCCUCCCUCCCUCCAUAAAACUUCCCCUCCCACUCUGUCCUUUCUCCAGCAGAUGCCACACACUCCACACUUCACACUCACAGCUUUGUUUUCUGCUCUUCCUUCUGUGGCUCUCGAUCCAUAUGGUGAUGCCCCUAACCCUCCGUCUCCCACCUCACUCCCACCGUUAU